Prosopis cineraria is the source of this 1780-nucleotide RNA transcript. It is a transcript of the gene named phosphoglucan phosphatase DSP4, amyloplastic-like, with no coding region annotated. Lineage: Eukaryota; Viridiplantae; Streptophyta; Magnoliopsida; Fabales; Fabaceae. The transcript has 5 exons. The record is from RefSeq and is a predicted model, not a curated record.
GAUUUUCUUCCUUCUUGCAUCAUCUUUGCCGUUUUCUCCCCUGUCGCCUGACCCGUUUGCACAAACAUCACCGCCGAGCCCCAGGGCGUGGUUCUACCACGCUGCGACUCGCGUCUCCUAUUCUUCUCCCGCGACCACGUUACCCGUGCGUCGCAGACGCAAGUCUCCUCUCCCCCGUGCGUCCACCUCGUUGAGUUUGUCCUGGUCUGGCGAUGUCAGGUCAAGAUUAAUUCAAGGCUCCUAUACUGCUCCUAGGGUUUUUUCGCAGGGGUGAUGUGGUUCAAAUUUUCCUCCUAUUAGUUUCCUUGGGUUUGUGUGUUCCCCUUGUGAUUAGAAUUUCUUUUUGCAGUCUCUUUCUGGUGUCAUGUCUAGUGCAGGGAUAAAUAGUGCUAAUGUGAAGGAAGAAGAGAAAUCUGAGACAUAUAGUCAGAAUAUGACUGAAGCCAUGGGUGCUGGGAGGUUUAAUUCUUUUGUCACAUGAUUGCUACAAACCGUAGCUUUGUUUGUUACAAUUUACAGUUCUAGAAGUCUAUGCAAUCUUCAUAUUCAUCUAUUAGUUUGGGUUAAUUGAAGGAUUUAAAAUGAUGCUUGUGGUCAUCAUAUUCUUGCAUUCUUUGAAUCUGUGUUUUUAGAUCUUUGAUAUUGGGUCCUUUCCGGUUCUGACUUAUAGGCACGAACUGGGGAUGGACUACAACUUCAUUCGUCCAGACUUAUUUGUGGGAUCACGCCUGCAGGGAAGCACUGUUAAAAUUAUGAAAUCCUUACUGCACCUUGGCCAUUGAAGAGAGUGAGAUUAUUUUCAGAUUGUAAACAUAGAAAAUAGCUUGAACAAAUAGAUAGGAUAAUUUUGACAGUUACGACCAUAAAAAAAUGACAUGUCAUGCCUUUCUUUUAUUUUGUAGUUGUUUCUUUUAGCAUUUGUUAUUUAUCUUGAUUAGAAAUCAGAUUGAUUUUCUUGUAUCAUUGUCAAACAGGAAAUUGAAGAAUGAAUUAUCAAAAACCCAUUUUGUGGAGACUUGUGGUCUUCCGAUUAGCACUUGUGGGCAGAAAUCAAAGGAAAUACUGUAGAGUUAGGAGAUUUACUGUUGGAAUAUCAGGCGGUAAAAACCUGGUAGCCAUUAUCCAAGCCUCUGGGAGCAUUAGUCGUGUCAAGAGUUCAUUAAGUGUGUCUAGAUCAGGUAUUAUUGCUGAACAGUUCGUUGAGAAGAUUCACAAAGUAAAAGGAUGUGCACACUGAACUUAUCCAGCACUGAAGGGCUCAGAUGAUAAAAGAGAGAAUCGUUAAAGGGGAAUUGAAUAUUGAUUCACCCUUGCAAAGUGAUAAAGGUUUAUGUCCUCUCUCGCCUGAAGAGGCUGUGAAGAACAAAGUAUCCACUUGGAUUGGCCCGCAAGUGUGAGAUUUUGUCAAGGAGUAGCAAAGGGAUUGACUUAUCUUCAUGAGGAAUCAAGAUUAAAAAUAGUACAUUGGGAUAUUAAGGCAACUAACGUAUUGCUGGAUAAGGAUGCGAAUGCCAAGAUCUUUGACUUCGGUUUAGCAAAGCUCAAUGAAGAUGAUAAUACCCAUAUUAGCACCCGAACAAUGUCUAUAUUAUGCCAUAUUCAAUUCUAUAUUUGAUUGCUCAUUUAACAGAGUCUAUCUUCACCACGCAUUUGCUUUAAUUUGUGAUGUAAGAUUUGGUAUUGCAUAAAGCCAUUCUUAUUCAAAUGAUCUUAGAAACAUCAAUAUUCCAUUUGUUUAGUAAAAUUACUAAUUCGCGGGUGUUGCAUAUUCUCUUUUCAA